GAGGGUAUAGCUCAGUGUUAGAGCAUGUGCUUAGCAUGCACUAGAUCCUGGGCUCAAUCUCCAGUACCUCCA
RNAcentral lists this transfer RNA (72 nucleotides) under Camelus bactrianus (Bactrian camel). It matches the Rfam family "tRNA". Rfam says of the family: Transfer RNA (tRNA) molecules are approximately 80 nucleotides in length. Their secondary structure includes four short double-helical elements and three loops (D, anti-codon, and T loops). Lineage: Eukaryota; Metazoa; Chordata; Mammalia; Artiodactyla; Camelidae. RNAcentral also lists the same sequence under 1 other name. The record is from Rfam by way of RNAcentral.